UCUUAGUUCGUGGAGUGAUCUGUCUGCUUAAUUGCGUUUCAAAUUUUAUAUUUGUUAACAUGCGAGUCUUCAAUGACGGCCACUCCACCUUAUAGACAUUAUAUGAUAUGCACAUUUGUGUAUUUGAUUAUAACUUGUCUGGAGUCUGGCUCGAUUUUUUUGACUCAAUUGAACGCAACGGACGUGAUUGCAAGUCCUUGUUGAACAAAUUAUAUAUAUACUACUUCAUCAUUAGUAUAUAUAGUUCGCUUCUCAUGUCGUAGCAGUCAAACGGGCGGGCGUCUUAAUUGGCGCGGUCACGAGGCUUAAUAUGCUGCGGCUGGGAAAACUUGGGCGACCGCUGUAAUACUUCUCUCUUAAACCAGAGGAAGAUUGCGGCAAUAACAGGUCUGUGAUGCCCUCAGAUGUCCCGGGCCGCACACGUGCUACAUUGAUUAGCGCAGUGCGCAUACUUACAUAUAGAUCAUUGAUUGGUUAUUUAUAACCGUCAAUAUCGCCUUGUCUGAAAGGACUAGGUAAUCUAUUGUAAGUGCUGGUUCCUCCUCCCGUUGAGCAUUUUAAUAAUGGUCUCUCUACAUCCCUAGCACAUGAUGUCUAGUGCGAUUGUAGUUGAGUUCUGCCAUUUAUGCAAGUGUCAAUUC
RNAcentral lists this ribosomal RNA (641 nucleotides) under Globigerinella siphonifera. RNAcentral describes it as "partial 18S ribosomal RNA". The stretch from base 1 to 553 matches the Rfam family "Eukaryotic small subunit ribosomal RNA", at positions 1292 to 1607 of the family's 1831-position model. Lineage: Eukaryota; Foraminifera; Rotaliida; Globigerinidae. The record is from RNAcentral.